GGGCGGGCGACACCUCGAGUCGGGGUGUAGGGAGGGCGUAGUGUGGGACGCGCCCCGGCCAGAGAAGUCGCUUUCCCGAGAGUUGCCGAGCCCCGCGCACAACCGGCAGCCAGAGCCGCAGGCUGGGAGGGGCGGCUUGGCCGGGGCCCGGUGUUAGGCUGAGGAGGGAGCGAGAAGCCCCCAGGGAAAGGAAGCGGCCGAGCCCGCGCGCCCGCAGGAGCGGGAAGCACCCGGCCACCUCUUCCCGCUGCUCCAGCCUCGGCGGUGGCGGAGCAGCAAGGGGAGGAGCAACAACUGCCGAGUCCGCCAACGGGAGCAGUGGAGGCGGAGCCGGAGCCCUGGAGCCGCCUCGGGCGCUGCCUGGGCUGUAGUUUCCCGGGAGAGAGGAGGAGGAGCGGAGCGGAGCGGAGCGCAGCCGGGAGCCCAGCUCCAGCCUCCCGCCAAGGGUAGCAGGUGUGUGGGAGGUAAGCGCGGUGUCCCGCUCGAGCAUCCGCACCCUGCCCGGAAGAAAGCUUCUUCCCCAGCAAUUAUAGGAAGGCACAACUGCAAGAGUCUGGCUUGAGUUAGUAAACCUGUGCAAACCCUGACGGGUAAAAGAUGUAGGUUUUUGGACUUUGAGGGAGCAAAAAACCAAAAGGUAGCUUGACCCUGAGUAUAAAGGGCAUGGUUAGUGUUUUGGGUUUGAGUUGCAUCAACUGUUCAGGGAGAUCGGCAAGAUUGAGCGAAGUCCUGCUUAUGAAGGAUUAAGAAAAUCAACAAUUUUGGCCAGGCGUACUGGCACAUACCUGUAAUCUUCGCCCUAUGGAAGCUGAGGCAGGAGGAUUGCUGUGAGUUUGAGGCCAUCCUGGGCCACAUUUUAUGCAGAUGGUUAAGAUACAAAGAAACUUCGAUGCUUAAGAAGUAAAUCAUAGCUGCUGGCCACAAUUCACACCAGGCCAAGACGAUUUACUUUCUGAGAAAGUUGAAUUGAGGAAGCUGUAUGAGAAGCAUUAUUUCAGCCAUGCAGUUUAACAUGGGAAAAUAAGAACAAGAUGACUGCACAGAAUAUUAAUGAAAUAAAAAAGGCAAUGUCAAGCAAUAGGUUUACAAUCAUAUGUUCCUGACACUUGUUUGUGUGGACACAAUUACUAGAAUGUGAAGAGAAAGUGAAAGGUUUUAUGGAGGCACUGGAAAUUAUAUGUAGAGAAAUUCAACAUAUGUAAUUGUUUUUUCAAGGCUAGUCUUUUAUUAUGACCCAAGCCCUAUCCCAUUACAUAGACAAUGAAAGAGAACCAUACAAAGUUAUAAAGAUUGCACCAGGUACCACCCUCUUUGCAUGUUUUUUUAGCCAAAACAUGGCCCUGCAAUAUAAUUAUCACUUCAAAAAUAACCAGAAUCUUUUGUGUAUUUCUAUAAAAUGGUCCAUAGUAACUACAGGGCUUGUGUGUCUUGAAAAUUCUGUAACCACAACUUCCUUUGCAUUCUUAAAAUUAAAAAAAUUUAAUUAGUUACAGUUAUAAUCUGGCCUCUUUAAAAUAAUGAAAUCAAUAUUUAAAAAUUCGAAUUUCAGACAAAAAUAUAGAAUAUCUAGUUGAUAAUACAAGAAAAAAAACCCAGUUCCUUUUUUUCAAUUUGUAUUUUUUAUUAGUAUAUGUUUGCAGUCCAUAAUGAUUACAUUCCUCAUGGGGAGUGGCCUGUUUCUUUUAAAUCAGGUAUCUCAAACUGACAGCUUGGUAGACUCAAAUCCUUCUGCCUCACUGCCUCACAACUGAAUUGUGUUUUGCAGAGUAUAUGUUUGGGGAAAAAUAUUUCCUUUAGGUGAGGGGUAGCCUUUUCAAGUGCUUCACACCCCACUGUUCUAUUAAACCAGCCCUAGAGGCACAUUCAUUUAUCUGCUAAGAGACUGGGGACUUCUUUGUCAGAAUUUUAAAUUAUGAGCCUUUUGGUAAAUUUAAUAUAUGCUAUUAAGUUAUUUAUAUAAUUUUCAGAAUAUGUUUAGUAAAAUGAGGUAAGCCUAUAAUUAUUCAAAGUGACUUUAACCGUAUUAGGAGAGUUUUUCAAAACUGAGUCUCUAUAAGCUAAGAUUAAAUGACGGAACAAUCAACUAUCUCUUAUUAUUCCUUUAAAUAAAUUUUUUCUCCUUGUAGAAAAAAGUAGAAAAUCAGACAUUUUUCUUAAUCCAGAUAAAAAAAUUGAAGAUAUGUCAGAUUUCAAGUGAUUACUCUGCUGAAUGUGUAGACUUACUGAUCAGGAAAUAAUAUUGUAGUUAUGAGCAGUCAGAACAUGGUGAUAUGUUUUUAGACUGUCAGCUCCAUUGUCAAGGUAGAAUUAAUCGGUAAGUGGAAUGCAGCAUUAUCAUGUAUGAUUUGUUCUACUAUCUUUUCCAGUAUGUAAAGUAAUGAACAAGUCUUUAAUGUCACCAAGUGAUUGUCCUUCAUGUGUGAAAGGGCAACAUUUUAGAAAUAUGUACUGUCCUGCAGUAUAAAUGAAUUU
Molecule: long non-coding RNA, 2472 nt
Organism: Heterocephalus glaber (naked mole-rat)
Lineage: Eukaryota; Metazoa; Chordata; Mammalia; Rodentia; Bathyergidae
Source: Ensembl